RNAcentral lists this long non-coding RNA (1632 nucleotides) under Aquilegia coerulea. RNAcentral describes it as "long non-coding RNA (ACOE_LNC001599)". Lineage: Eukaryota; Viridiplantae; Streptophyta; Magnoliopsida; Ranunculales; Ranunculaceae. The record is from RNAcentral.
GUAUAUUUACUAUCUAUCAUUGGAUUUGGAACUACAGUAACUCAUGAGUUUGUUGGUCUUUUCUCUUGAAAAGUGGCAGUGUUCUAUUCUUGACCAUGAAAUAAAGGGUCUUAAUCUUUAGGACAUUUUGUCAAAUACGUCACAAUUAUAUUCUCAAAAAAAAAAAAUAAAUAAAUAAAAUUCAUACAAGUAUACGCUUCUGUUGAAAAAUGUCCAUGAAAAUUCUUUACCCAAUAUAUUAUUAAUAUCUAGCAGAGCCCAUAAUACUAUCAAUCCCAAAUUCACAAUAUUUUGUUCUAAGAGCAACUCCUAGACUCACUAAUAAUAUCAAUACCUCUCCUGACUUCAAAUAUAGUCAUCAACACUCCAGGGCUCAAGACCAAGGGGAUCCUAUUCAGUAUCAGUUCUAAGAAGUGAAGCUAACUACAAUCUCAUCACAUCAGAAAACAAAUCAAGUUAGCUUUACAUACACAAGAUACAUAACAAGGGAAAGCAUAAACAGAAAAAUUGACAACUAACACUAGUUGUAAUUAGAAUUGCCAUAACUCUAAAAUACAAUUUAUUCGUUGCAGUGUCAUGAGAUUUUGAUUCACAUUAGUAUGUAUGCAGGACUAUUAACUGGCUUUUCAACAAAUAGUAUUCCAAUUAUUGUUUCUCCGUAUAAACUUGAGUACAUUUCAGACUCCUAUCUUAACAAUAUAUAGAUAAAUACAUACACUAGUAUGCAUCUUACCAAGUACCCUACAUAAAAAAAAAAUAAUUAAAAAAAAAAUACAAAUAUAUUAAUAGGGUUUCUACACAAACAUACACUUUUAUGAAUGUAUAAGAGUCUUACCAAGAAUGCAUCCAAAAACUGAAAAUGAAAAGGCAAUACCUCCAAAAGGGGAUGAACCACUACCAAAAGCAGUAGUUGAGGAAACACUAAAAGAUGGAACUGAACUUUUGAUGAAAACUGAUUGGGACCCAAAUGAGCUGCUCGAUAAUUACCUAAAGGCUGUAAAAUCAUAGAAAUGUAUUCAAAUAAGUAAUUACAAAUAACUGGACAUAAGCACAAUGUAAUAUCCAACCACAAAACACAAAAGAUAUACACAAACAUGGAAGAAAAUAUGUGAUGUGUUAAAAGAGUGCAACAAUAGAGUGUUAUUUGUGCAAAAUAUCAUUAGCAUGACAAAUAUAUUAAUCAGUCUACGUUUGACAACCCAAUGCAAAAAAAACAUUAAAAAACAGUCUUUGCAAUCUUUAUUUUAUCUUACAACAUCCAAAUUUGACAUGAUCUAAAUUUGACAUGGAAAAAUAUAAAAAUCGCAUUUUUUUUUUUGAAAUUAACAACAAGCUCCCUUGCUCACAAAAUCUCAGAAUUAAAAACCCCAUUUACAUCUAUUUGUUGAAGGUUAUUAUAAAAUUUUAUCUAAACCUAUUAAGAAAAAUAAAUCUAGGCAAAUAGAAAAAAUGUUUGUUGUCAUCUUACCUUCCUUUGAUUGAAGGAAGAAGAUCCAGAUCUGAAAAUCUAUGCUCACCACUAUACCAAUUUAGCAAGAGGAGAGAAAGAGAGAAGAAGGAAGAGGAAAGGAAGAAGAAUGGUUAAGAGAGAAAUGUCAGGACCUAUGGAUCAGGAAUAGUCAAGGGCCUAGU